UUUGCUCCUGAGAUCGAUGUGAGGCCAUCCGCCGAAUUUAAGCAUAUAAUUAAGCGGCAGAAAAGAAAAUAACCAUGAUUCCCUU
This 85-nucleotide ribosomal RNA is filed under the name Babesia bigemina. Its description in RNAcentral is "partial 28S ribosomal RNA". It matches the Rfam family "Eukaryotic large subunit ribosomal RNA", at positions 1 to 81 of the family's 3401-position model. Lineage: Eukaryota; Apicomplexa; Aconoidasida; Piroplasmida; Babesiidae. The record is from RNAcentral.